Molecule: ribosomal RNA, 713 nt
Filed under: uncultured Fusarium
Lineage: Eukaryota; Fungi; Ascomycota; Sordariomycetes; Hypocreales; Nectriaceae
Description: eukaryotic LSU rRNA
Rfam family: Eukaryotic large subunit ribosomal RNA
Source: RNAcentral
GCGCAGGAAAAGAAACCAACAGGGAUUGCCCUAGUAACGGCGAGUGAAGCGGCAACAGCUCAAAUUUGAAAUCUGGCUCUCGGGCCCGAGUUGUAAUUUGUAGAGGAUGCUUUUGAUGCGGUGCCUUCCGAGUUCCCUGGAACGGGACGCCAUAGAGGGUGAGAGCCCCGUCUGGUUGGAUGCCAAAUCUCUGUAAAGCUCCUUCGACGAGUCGAGUAGUUUGGGAAUGCUGCUCUAAAUGGGAGGUAUAUGUCUUCUAAAGCUAAAUACCGGCCAGAGACCGAUAGCGCACAAGUAGAGUGAUCGAAAGAUGAAAAGCACUUUGAAAAGAGAGUUAAAAAGUACGUGAAAUUGUUGAAAGGGAAGCGUUUAUGACCAGACUUGGGCUUGGUUAAUCAUCUGGGGUUCUCCCCAGUGCACUUUUCCAGUCCAGGCCAGCAUCAGUUUUCGCCGGGGGAUAAAGGCUUCGGGAAUGUGGCUCUCUCCGGGGAGUGUUAUAGCCCGUUGCGUAAUACCCUGGCGGGGACUGAGGUUCGCGCAUCUGCAAGGAUGCUGGCGUAAUGGUCAUCAACGACCCGUCUUGAAACACGGACCAAGGAGUCGUCUUCGUAUGCGAGUGUUCGGGUGUCAAACCCCUACGCGUAAUGAAAGUGAACGCAGGUGAGAGCUUCGGCGCAUCAUCGACCGAUCCUGAUGUUCUCGGAUGGAUUUGA